Molecule: long non-coding RNA, 321 nt
Filed under: Brassica napus (rape)
Lineage: Eukaryota; Viridiplantae; Streptophyta; Magnoliopsida; Brassicales; Brassicaceae
Description: long non-coding RNA (BNAP_LNC009347)
Source: RNAcentral
AAAAUUUGGAUUCGAUAUUAUACUGUAUAGUUUUACUUAGUUGUACUGAGUUAUAUUUUUUUUACUGGGUAGGAUGGACAGAGGAGAUUCAUCUUUUGCGGUUUAUGGGUUGGGUUUUCUCGAAAUCUCGAGAUCUCAAUUUUGGGGAUAAAAAUGGAGAUACGAUUUGAGCAUACUAAAUACCUUUUCUCGGAUCUUACGGGUGCACUGAAAGGAAAGGGAAGAGAUGGUGGUGCUUUAUUCCGAAUCUGCAAGAUAGGGGAUCGAUUUGUGGAGAAUCAGAUAUACUCUUGAUGUAUUUGGGUGCUACCUUGUGACUGG